UAUGUUCGGAAAAGAUAACCGCUGAAAGCAUCUAAGCGGGAAACUUGCCUCAAGAUGAGAUCUCACUGGGAACUUGAUUCCCCUGAAGGGCCGUCGAAGACUACGACGUUGAUAGGCUGGGUGUGUAAGCGUUGUGAGGCGUUGAGCUAACCAGUACUAAUUGCCCGUGAGGCUUGACCAUAUAACACCCAAACA
Molecule: ribosomal RNA, 195 nt
Filed under: Pseudomonas aeruginosa
Lineage: Bacteria; Pseudomonadati; Pseudomonadota; Gammaproteobacteria; Pseudomonadales; Pseudomonadaceae
Description: partial 23S ribosomal RNA
Rfam family: Bacterial large subunit ribosomal RNA
Source: RNAcentral